GUCUACUAAGAAGCAUCGAUCCAUGGGGUCUGAGGAGUGGGUGAGCCGCCUGAGGGCAUUUGCCUCUUCUGGCACUUGGCCCUCCAGUGCAGGGAACAGGCCAUCUCCAAAACAGGCCAAGUGGCACAACCUCUACCAGAAGAUUGAGAAGUGUCCCAUGAUGCUGCGUGGGCAGACCUUAAUGUUAGGGAUAGCCCAGACAUGUACCUGUGGCUUUCACUCCCAGCAGUCUGUGAGAAGCCCUGCAGCUACCUUUGCCUCCACCUCUGCUGCGCCUGCACGGAGCCCUGGGAGGCCUGCAUUGACGCUGGC
This is a long non-coding RNA of Gadus morhua (Atlantic cod), 312 nucleotides long. The record is from Ensembl. NCBI's taxonomy places the organism in Eukaryota, Metazoa, Chordata, Actinopteri, Gadiformes, Gadidae.